RNAcentral lists this ribosomal RNA (254 nucleotides) under uncultured bacterium. Its description in RNAcentral is "partial 16S ribosomal RNA". It matches the Rfam family "Bacterial small subunit ribosomal RNA", at positions 524 to 776 of the family's 1533-position model. The record is from RNAcentral.
GACGGAGGGGGCAAGCGUUGUUCGGAAUUAUUGGGCGUAAAGGGCUCGUAGGCGGAUCCGCCAGUCUGACGUGAAAUCUCCACCGCUCACCGGGGAGGGGCCGUUGGAUACUACGGAUCUGGAGUUCGGCAGAGGACCAUGGAAUUUCGGGUGUAGCGGUGGAAUGCGUAGAGAUCCGGAAGAACACCGGUGGCGAAGGCGGCCUGCUGGGCAGUAGCUGACACUGAGGCGCGACAGCGUGGGGAGCAAACAGG